RNAcentral lists this ribosomal RNA (433 nucleotides) under uncultured bacterium. RNAcentral's name for it is "partial 16S ribosomal RNA". It matches the Rfam family "Bacterial small subunit ribosomal RNA", at positions 29 to 507 of the family's 1533-position model. The record is from RNAcentral.
AGCGAACGCUGGCGGCAGGCUUAACACAUGCAAGUCGAGCGGGCCCUUCGGGGUCAGCGGCGGACGGAUGAGUAACGCGUGGGAACGUGCCUUCUGGUCUGGAAUAACCCUGGGAAACUAGGGCUAAUACCGGAUACGCCCUUUUGGGGAAAGGUUUACUGCCGGAAGAUCGGCCCGCGUCUGAUUAGCUAGUUGGUGGGGUAACGGCCUACCAAGGCGACGAUCAGUAGCUGGUCUGAGAGGAUGAUCAGCCACACUGGGACUGAGACACGGCCCAGACUCCUACGGGAGGCAGCAGUGGGGAAUAUUGGACAAUGGGCGCAAGCCUGAUCCAGCCAUGCCGCGUGAGUGAUGAAGGCCUUAGGGUUGUAAAGCUCUUUUAUCCGGGACGAUAAUGACGGUACCGGAGGAAUAAGCCCCGGCUAACUUCGUG